This 503-nucleotide ribosomal RNA is filed under the name uncultured bacterium. RNAcentral describes it as "bacterial SSU rRNA". It matches the Rfam family "Bacterial small subunit ribosomal RNA", at positions 28 to 521 of the family's 1533-position model. The record is from RNAcentral.
GACGAACGCUGGCGGCGUGGAUUAGGCAUGCAAGUCGAACGGUAUCAUCCUUUCGGGGGUGAGAGAGUGGCGAACUGGUGAGUAACACGUAGGUUAUCUACCCUCAAGACGGGGACAACCCAGGGAAACUUGGGCUAAUACCGGAUGUGAGCAACUUUUAGUUGUUUGAAAGGUGGCGUAAGCUGUCGCUUGGGGAUGAGCCUGCGUCCUAUUAGUUAGUUGGUGAGGUAACGGCUCACCUAGGCAAUGAUAGGUAGGCGGCCUUAACGGGUGGUCGCCCACACUGGGAUUGAGAUACGGCCCAGACUCCUACGGGAGGCAGCAGUCGAGAAUAGUCUACAAUGGUCGGAAGACUGAUAGUGCGACGCCGCGUGAACGAUGAAUCCCUUCGGGGUGUAAAGUUCUUUUAUAUGUGAGCAGUGCUUCUUAUAUUAACAGUAUGGGGAGAGAGAUAUUAGCAUAUGAAUAAGCAACGGCUAAACUCCGUGCCAAGCAGCCGCGGU